AUUACAAAUUCUUCAUCUGAUUAAGCAAAUGUCACCAUCUUGCCGGUCAGGGUCUUCACCAAGAUCUGCAUCCCACCUCUGAGACGCUGCACCAGGUGCAGGGUCAACUCCUCCUGGACAUUGUAUUCAGACAGGGUGCGCCCAUCUUCCAGAGCACUAGUAUAAACUCAGAUCAGAGGCCAAUUGCUUCAACAAACCGCUGUCACAACAGAAAACCUGAGGAAUCAAGUUCAUCUUGAAAAUUACAGCAACGAGCCAUUCUGAUAAUAGGAAUAGAACCCAGAGGCACUUUAAGCACGGAGCCACACCCCCUUUGAGACAGGCUCUAACAUGCUUAGGCUUUACUAAAUUGCUGAGGCUGGCCUCAAAUUUACCAGCUUCCUAAGUUGCUGUGAUUACAAGCAUGGGCCACCAUGCUUGGCAUCAUUCUCUAUUUUAAACUUGUUAAGUAGAUGGAAAAUAUAUUACCUGCCACCUUUUCAAAUAAAUCUGAUCUCAUUGACUUCUAUGCAGACCGGUGAUUCAUGCAGCUACUAUGUUAAAGCAGAUUCUUUCCCCUCCCAUCUUACCUUUUUAAAUACCUUUCCUACAAGAAACAUUCUUCUCACACCACCCCAAAGAGUAAAUACAAACCUGUUCAAUGUACACACAUAAAACAUUAAUCUAUCCAACCCUGACACUUUUUUUUUUAUUCCUGACAUUCUUUUAAACUACUGUACACAUUUUUAAAUUAUUUUAAAUUGUAGAUGGACAUGAUACCUUUAUUUUUAUGUGGUGCUAAAGAUUGAAAUCAGUGCCUCAAACACGCUAGGCAAGUGCUCUACCAUUGAGGUACAACCACAGCAUUUUUCUCCAAUGUCAGGCAAGCACUGCACCACUUAGCUACAACCACAGCCCCUUUGUACAUAUUUUCUCAUCAGUAAAAUCAAAUAGUGUCAGCCUCCUGACAGUGCCAUACACCUGCAAUGCUACUCCCAGCAGCUUGGGAAGCUGAGGCAUAACUGUGAGCUCAAAGACAGCCUCAGCAACUCAGUCUCUAAGAAUACGGCUGACUAAGCACCCCUAGGGUCUAAUCCCCAGUACCCCCUAAAAAGUAUCUGCCUCAUAAAAUCAAGGGGUAUAUUGAUUUAUAUAUUUAUAUAAAAUCUACCACUAUCUCUGCUAUUUGCUGUUUUUGUUAUAAUUUUCCUGAGUAUAGGAUAAUUGUAAGGGGAAAAAUAUUUAAAAAGCAUGAAUAACCCAGCUUUUAUUUUUACCUUCCUACAGUUCUAUAUACCACUUUGCAAUGGCAAUUUCUUACUUCAUGGUAACCACAAAAACAUUGAUGCACCAACCCAACACUAAUUCAAAGUUUUAUUUUUUUAAAAUUUAUUUUCUAUUUAUUCAUUUGUAGGUGGUGCUGCAGAUCAAAUCCAGGGCCUCACAUGUGCUAAGCAAGCACUCUACCGUUGAGCUAUCGCCCCAACCCCUUAAUUUAUUUUUAGUUGUUGAUAAACAUUAAACAUGAUGCUGAGAAUUGAACCCAGUGCCUCACACAUGCCAGGCAAGUGCACUGCCACUGAGACCCAGCCCUAAUUCAAAGAUCUUUAAACUGAAUCCUGCUGAUCCAACCCUACUCCAAUUUGAAUAUUCUUAUAACUAAAAAGACAAAAACACGACUUGGAAUGCAACAACUUUAUUGAAAGAAAAGUGCAAAGAAACUUGUCAAAUGCUUAAAAGGGGGAAACUUAGACACCUCCCCUCAAGCGCAGCACCAGGUGCAGGGUGGACUCCUUCUGGAUGUUGUAGUCGGACAGGGUGCGCCCGUCUUCCAGCUGCUUGCCCGCAAAGAUCAACCUCUGCUGGUCGGGGGGGAUGCCCUCCUUGUCUUGGAUCUUUGCCUUGACAUUCUCAAUGGUGUCACUGGGCUCCACCUCCAGGGUGAUGGUCUUGCCAGUCAGGGUCUUCACGAAGAUCUGCAUUGUCUGGUUACAAAAGGGCAACAACAACAAAAAGAACCAAGAAUUUUAGCAGUGCUAAUGGCGAAAGUUCAGUAUCGCUGUAUACUUGUCCAAAUAAUUAAAAGGGGCCUUGUGGCACAAGCCUUUAAUCCCAGAUAGUUGGGAAGCUAUGGGAGGAAGAGGGCAAGUCAUAGGCCAACCUGAACCAUUUAGGGAAACUGACUCAAAAUAAAGAAUGACAUGUAAAUCCCAGCAGCUCUGGAGGCUGAGACAGGAGAGUUGCAAGUUUCAAAGCCAGUCUCAGCAAAAUCAAGGUGCUAAGCAACUCAGUGAGACUCUGUCUCUAAAUAAAAUACAAAAUAGGGCUGGGGCUCAGAGGUUGAGGGCCCCGAGUCCAAUCCCCGGUAGCCCCCUAAAAAAUAAAGAAUGAGAAGUCCUGGGGGUGGAGUUCGGUGGGAGAGCGUCUUCAGAUUCAAUUCCCAUUACCAAGAAACUUUUUUUUUUUUAAGUGAAAAACUUGCCUUAGCAACAUCAAGAAAUACAGGCAGCACUACUGAUAAAUUAGUUCAAAACCUUGGCUUGGAGCACUAAGGCAGCCUGGAAACCUUGACCAAUUUAACCUCAGAGGCCUCAAGUCUCACCCCCCCCCCUCCGGAUGCCGGGUUCUGUCAAUCCAGCAGGGUCUAACCUCGGCCCGAGUCCUGCGACUGAGAAACACCGCCUACACCCACAUGGGCAGGCGGCCCCACCCCGCAUGAGCGAACAGACGGGGUGACGUCACCCGACCGCGACGGUGUGCAGCGCGCCCCAGGAGUAGGACUACGGCGCGGCACCUCAUCCCGGUCUGCACCCCCGGGGGCGGACGACCAGCCCCUCCAGUCACUCGAGCCCCGAAACACUUCACGCCCGCCCGGGCGUUCUCCAACCCCGCCGCAGGGCCAUCUGCCCCCACCUCCCGCUGCGGCCAGGGCCCUCCCGCGCUUCCCUUCCGCCCCCUGACGGCAGGCUCGAGCCCCAGCCUCACAGCCCCUCUCUGCGGCGCGGCUCCUCCCGGUUAAGGUUUCGCAGCGGCCGCCAUUUUGCCGCUUGUCCCCUCGGGUCCGGCGGGGCGCUAAGCGCCAAGCACCAAGCCGCCGGCCCCGAGGCAGGCAGCGCGGCCCCGUCUCCCACACGGCCGCACGGCCAGUAAGCCCCGAGCGCCGCGACGUCAGCUCACCAGCGGCAGCAGCAAGCAGUAGAGUAGCGACAGAACUCACGGCCUCGACGGAACUCACUGCGCCCCGCCCGGCGCCGCCUUAUAUAGGCUGUGGCGUCCACCGCCCGGAGAGAUCCCUCCGCGGAAACGCCGAGAAGGGACUACUUUCCUCCGCCCUUUCCGCCCUCCGGAAAGAAAACGACUAACCGGAACCACCGGAUCCCCGUUCCUGGAAUAUCAUCGGACCGAGGCCGAGGCGUGGGGGGUCGCACGCGUCGGGGGGCAGGUGGCCGUUGUGAGGGCCAGGCGGAGGGAUCAGCUCGGGCGCAACGGUGCGGCGACCCUGGAUGGGGGCGGGGCGGGUGGGGCGAAAGCCCGGCGUGGAGCCCGGGCCGGAGCGGAACGGAGCGCGCCCUCUGCCCCCGCGACCCGCGGGCCUUGGCUCCUGUCUGUUUUAGCCGCUCUGUGCCCGGUCCGCCACGUCCCCUCGCCCUGGCCGCCCUCCGCGGGCCCAGCCCCCACUGUGGCACGGUGACAGGGCGCGUGACGCUGCAGUCUCCGCGCAGGGCCUGGGUCAAGGACGAGCCGGCGUCCCCAGAGCUCCCACGAAGGAGCCUGUCCAGCUGCCCUUGGAAGGGAGGGAAUUGAGCUGGACCUGAGGGCCGGCGGUCGGCCUCCGGGCUGUUCCGGGGCCUUCCUGUUUGUUCUCGGUGGCCCUGAACAGGAGAGGGUCGCCUUUGGUUGCCGACAAGGAGACUGCGGAUUUAAGCUCCUUCUGCAUUUGAUGUACUCAGAAGGGGCUUAAGCCUGAGAUGUCCUUUUAUUUUUUACUUCGACUGCAGAUGUCCCACUGUUGCGUUUCACCCCCGGCCCCGAAAUUAAGUCUAUUAAACUGAGAUGGAAAAAAAGAAAAAGAACAUGUUUACGGAUGUGUAAGUGACCCCGUGAUGGUUGAACCCAGGGUGUUCAGGGUGUUGUGUGAUGGUCAAGUCAGGUUGGACCUGUCUGCUGGACACUGACCACUCCUCUCCAGGGGAAGCGUUCAGAUCCUUCCAGCUAUCUAAAAUGUGAGGCGCGAGGUUUUAAAACACAGGAAUUGAGUCUCAGCUGUGCGUAUUUCUGGGGAGGAUUUUUAAUAUGUCAAAUACAAACUGUGACUCCACAGGAACAUUCUAUUUUGAUAAAAGAGGAGGAAAGAGGAGGAUUGCGAGCCCAGGUGGUUUCAUUUUUACCACAACCUAUACUGUGACUCCUGUGUGUCAUUUCCCCAGCCACUGUUCCUUCUGGAUUCUUCUGGAAAUAGUCCCUGUUUCUACAAACGUAGGGGGAGGAUAAUGUUUG
This 4476-nucleotide long non-coding RNA is filed under the name Marmota monax (woodchuck). The record is from RNAcentral. Lineage: Eukaryota; Metazoa; Chordata; Mammalia; Rodentia; Sciuridae.